This 465-nucleotide ribosomal RNA is filed under the name Vreelandella stevensii. RNAcentral's name for it is "partial 16S ribosomal RNA". It matches the Rfam family "Bacterial small subunit ribosomal RNA", at positions 338 to 795 of the family's 1533-position model. Lineage: Bacteria; Pseudomonadati; Pseudomonadota; Gammaproteobacteria; Oceanospirillales; Halomonadaceae. The record is from RNAcentral.
CCUACGGGUGGCUGCAGUGGGGAAUAUUGGACAAUGGGCGAAAGCCUGAUCCAGCCAUGCCGCGUGUGUGAAGAAGGCCUUCGGGUUGUAAAGCACUUUCAGUGGGGAAGAAAGCCUUGGGGCUAAUACCCUCGAGGAAGGACAUCACCCACAGAAGAAGCACCGGCUAACUCCGUGCCAGCAGCCGCGGUAAUACGGAGGGUGCGAGCGUUAAUCGGAAUUACUGGGCGUAAAGCGCGCGUAGGCGGUCUGAUAAGCCGGUUGUGAAAGCCCCGGGCUCAACCUGGGAACGGCAUCCGGAACUGUCAGGCUAGAGUGCAGGAGAGGAUGGUAGAAUGCCCGGUGUAGCGGUGAAAUGCGUAGAGAUCGGGAGGAAUACCAGUGGCGAAGGCAGCCGUCUGAGCUGACACUGACGCUGAGGUGCGAAAGCGUGGGUAGCAAACAGGAUUAGAUACCCCUGUAGUC